This 253-nucleotide ribosomal RNA is filed under the name uncultured bacterium. RNAcentral describes it as "partial 16S ribosomal RNA". It matches the Rfam family "Bacterial small subunit ribosomal RNA", at positions 524 to 776 of the family's 1533-position model. The record is from RNAcentral.
UACGUAGGCAGCAAGCGUUGUUCGGAGUUACUGGGCGUAAAGAGUGCGUAGGUGGUGCCCUAAGUCUGUUGUGAAAUCUCCCGGCUUAACUGGGAGGGUGCGGUGGAAACUGGGGUGCUUGAGUGUGGGAGAGGUAAGCGGAAUUCCUGGUGUAGCGGUGAAAUGCGUAGAUAUCGGGAGGAACACCUGUGGCGAAAGCGGCUCACUGGACCACAACUGACGCUGAGGCGCGAAAGCUAGGGGAGCAAACAGG